GGUUAUAAAAGCUCAGUGGUAGAGCCCUUGCCUCACACGUUCAAGUCCCUGGGUUCGAUCCUCAGCACCA
RNAcentral lists this transfer RNA (70 nucleotides) under Marmota monax (woodchuck). RNAcentral describes it as "tRNA.Val". The record is from RNAcentral. Lineage: Eukaryota; Metazoa; Chordata; Mammalia; Rodentia; Sciuridae.